RNAcentral lists this ribosomal RNA (435 nucleotides) under Salmonella enterica. RNAcentral describes it as "partial 23S ribosomal RNA". It matches the Rfam family "Bacterial large subunit ribosomal RNA", at positions 1 to 466 of the family's 2925-position model. Lineage: Bacteria; Pseudomonadati; Pseudomonadota; Gammaproteobacteria; Enterobacterales; Enterobacteriaceae. The record is from RNAcentral.
GGGUUGUGAGGUUAAGCGACUAAGCGUACACGGUGGAUGCCCUGGCAGUCAGAGGCGAUGAAGGGCGUGCUAAUCUGCGAUAAGCGCCGGUAAGGUGAUAUGAACCGUUAUAACCGGCGAUACCCGAAUGGGGAAACCCAGUGUGAUUCGUCACACUAUCAUUAACUGAAUCCAUAGGUUAAUGAGGCGAACCGGGGGAACUGAAACAUCUAAGUACCCCGAGGAAAAGAAAUCAACCGAGAUUCCCCCAGUAGCGGCGAGCGAACGGGGAGGAGCCCAGAGCCUGAAUCAGCAUGUGUGUUAGUGGAAGCGUCUGGAAAGGCGCGCGAUACAGGGUGACAGCCCCGUACACAAAAGCGUAUGUGCUGUGAGCUCGAUGAGUAGGGCGGGACACGUGGUAUCCUGUCUGAAUAUGGGGGGACCAUCCUCCAAGGC